CAGUGGCUAUGUAAACUUGUCUUAAGAUAGGAACGAAUGUCAACAAUUCAUGUUGUUGUUUUGUCUCCGCUGUUCCUUUUAAAAAUGCAAUACUAAGAAUGGCUACUAUAAUGUUCUUUCAGACGGAGCUAUUGAUGGUUCAUGUGAGGGAUCGUGUGAAUCGUUGAAUAGUAAGGGGAAAGAUGCAUGUGAUGAUGAGGAAGCUGUAAUCAGACAACCUGAGAUUGGCACUGGACGUAUUACGAGUGCAUGUGGUUUGCAGAUUAUACACCCGGUUGAUG
Molecule: long non-coding RNA, 281 nt
Organism: Mercenaria mercenaria
Lineage: Eukaryota; Metazoa; Mollusca; Bivalvia; Venerida; Veneridae
Exons: 3
Source: RefSeq, a predicted model, not a curated record